AUUGAACGCUGGCGGCACGCUUUACACAUGCAAGUCGAACGGCAGCGGGGAGGAGCUUGCUUCUCUGCCGGCGAGUGGCGAACGGGUGAGUAAUACAUCGGAACGUGUCGAGAAGAGGGGGAUAACCACCCGAAAGGGUGGCUAAUACCGCAUAAAUUCUGAGGAAGAAAGCUGGGGACCUAGGAAUAGGCCUAGCGCUUUUUGAGCGGCCGAUGUCGGAUUAGCUAGUUGGUGAGGUAAAGGCUCACCAAGGCGAAGAUCUGUAGCGGGUCUGAGAGGAUGAUCCGCCACACUGGGACUGAGACACGGCCCAGACUCCUACGGGAGGCAGCAGUGGGGAAUUUUGGACAAUGGGGGCAACCCUGAUCCAGCCAUGCCGCGUGUAUGAAGAAGGCCUUAGGGUUGUAAAGUACUUUUGUUAGGGAAGAAAAGUCAGCUGUGAAUAAUGGCUGAUACUGACGGUACCUAAAGAAUAAGCACCGGCUAACUACGUG
Molecule: ribosomal RNA, 494 nt
Filed under: uncultured bacterium
Lineage: Bacteria
Description: partial 16S ribosomal RNA
Rfam family: Bacterial small subunit ribosomal RNA
Source: RNAcentral